Long non-coding RNA from Erigeron canadensis, 898 nucleotides. RefSeq lists it as uncharacterized. The record is from RefSeq and is a predicted model, not a curated record. NCBI's taxonomy places the organism in Eukaryota, Viridiplantae, Streptophyta, Magnoliopsida, Asterales, Asteraceae. The transcript has 2 exons.
CAAACAUGGGAACUAUAUAAACCCACGCAUCCAUCCAUCCAUCAUAGGGUUUCUCUUCUUCACACGCCGCCAUAACCUCAACAAUAAAAAGAUAUAUGUUUUCCUGCUAUCUGUAAUUCUACAUUCAUAUAUACCUCAAAUAAAACAUUUUAUUGGAGAGGCGGUUGAAAUACCUUCGCUGGGUAUUCAUGUCAUUCAUCGAUUAUAAAAAGUACUUGUACAGGUAUUCGUGUUCUAAAGUGAAGUCCAAUUUUUUAUUUUUUAUUUUCCUAAAGUAAGAUUAUACUUUAAAUAUUACUGUCAUUUAGUUUGUUAAUAAGGAUUGCAAGGUAUUGUCACAUUGUUUUCGAUGUUUCAUACUGUAUUUGUUAAGAUACCACAUGACGACUGAAUAAUACGACAAAAGCAAAGAUAACGGUAAAGUAGACAAAAUCCAUUCUCCGGAUGAUCAAGAUGACAACUUUAAGCUUCAUUUGUCUCCUAUAGUUGGUUAUUUAAAACCUGGAGAUCUUUGCAUAACUUAUAGAGGCCGGGAUCGAGCACCAUCUGAUCUGGAUAGAUCAAGGCUAUGCGUGUGUUUACCUGGAAAGUUGUUCUGUAAGUUGUUGCUCUGUGAAAUGGUAAGAUUUGGUGACACGUGUAAUCUAUGUUCUUGUAAUCGUGUAGUUUACGUGGUGAGGAACCCUACGCCCAUCACUGGCCGGGAGCAUCUCGUUUUGGUCAUACUUGUAUAGUUAGAAGUUUUGUGGUUAAGUUAAUUAUAGCAUUAUUGAUUGGUUUUCUCUGCUUCUGAUGUUUCAACUGCUUGUUUACAGCAUAUUGUAUUUCUAUUCAAAAAACCAAAUACUCAUACUAUUUAUGAAUUAUGAUAGAACUUUUAAGAUACAAUUCUGAUAAA